AACGGUUGCUGGUGGAUGACUUGGUUGGCUAGCCGAUGAAGGACGUGGCAAGCAGCGAUAUGCUGCGGGUAGGCGCACGA
RNAcentral lists this ribosomal RNA (80 nucleotides) under Candidatus Thorarchaeota archaeon. RNAcentral describes it as "partial 23S ribosomal RNA". The record is from RNAcentral. Lineage: Archaea; Promethearchaeati; Candidatus Thorarchaeota.